RNAcentral lists this small RNA (1416 nucleotides) under Oryza sativa Japonica Group (Japanese rice). Its description in RNAcentral is "sRNA Os05g0467450". The record is from RNAcentral. Lineage: Eukaryota; Viridiplantae; Streptophyta; Magnoliopsida; Poales; Poaceae.
CCUUCACACUUGUCAAUGUAGAGUUCUUCUUAAUUAACUGGUCUGAAGUAAACACAUACACAAUGUUUCCACAAGAAGAACCCUCAACUAACUCCCUUUUAUCUCCUAUCCAAAUAAGGGAACUCUUAAUGCAUUUGAUAUACAAAUCUUUUCUUUCACCAAUACCAUAGCUGGGACUCAAGAAUUGGACAUUCAUUCCAGAUGUGACUUUCCCGGAGAAGACACGUCCUAAAGCAAAAUACCUGCCUUUGCCUAAUGCUAGGGUCAUCUUGGAAACAUAAAGAACAAGGGGCCCUUCAGCAUCACAAUUUCUAACAGAGGUAUGGUAAAUGUUGUCAAGAUCCACACCAAAAUUCCCAACACAAUGUCUUUGCGCCUUCUCUGGAGAGGGGAUGUGGUACAUCAUCAUCUCAGAAAGUGCACUGCAUGCUGGCAGCCAAGCUUGGAUCACAUACUUUACGAGUUCAAUGCCAACAAGUUCCUUAGCUGGAGAACUCACAGUGACAUGAAUCUUUUCUAGCAUAGGCCACAAUUUGUGCUUGCUAUUCAUGCAGGCGUUCAUGAUCUCUCUGAUAGGUUCAUAGCAAAACUGAACAAAGCCCCUCUUGCAUGUAGCUGUGCCAGUGUUCUUUUUUGUCCAUUUCUUUGUGGCCAGGUCAAAGAAGUUCUCACCCCAUAAUCUGUCUAUCAUCUUAGAUUCCUCAACUUUGAAUUUGGAGGAAUACAUCUUAGCAAAAUUAGAAAUUGCAACUGCCCAUCCGUGCAGACCAGAUGAGAACACAACAGUUCCCUUAGUGGGAUACACCUGAGCAUCUUUGUGUGAAGACAUGGUAGCAUUGACACUAUCAAUUAGACUGGAGAGGGUCUGAUAAGCUUUCUCACCAUCAACAUUCUGCUCAAGGAAGAAUCUGUCGAUCUUAUUCAGAGUAAAAACAGGCUGAAUCUUCAUAUUAAGAGCCUCACGAAUAGAAGUCUUGGUCCAUAAAGUAACACCCUCAAAACUGUCCACUACAACUAGAGCACCAUCCAUUAUGCAAAGGGCAGGUUGGACAUCAUUAGACAAGUUGCAACACACAGGAGAGUCAAUAAGAUUGAUCAAGUGUCCGUUACCAGCUCUCUUAUCCUUGUAGCUUCUCAGAGAAUCUUCAGGCAUUUCAUAGUACAGAGAAAUUAGGCUAUUGCUUUCAGUAACUUCCUGGGAAAUGCCACGUCGUAAAUGUGAGAAUUAAUGUAAUUUCAUAAACAAACAAGUAAAACAACCACAUUUUAAGAAUCUCACACCACUACAUUUCAAUCUUACCAUGGCCAGCAUCAGCAAUAACCAAUACAUUCCGAAUGUUGUUCUUAUUGCACAUAAUGCUGUGAAGUUCUUCCGCUGUGACCACCAUCAUGUCGAUUUACUUCAUGUAUCCCUGC